AUUAAAGCGAUGAUGGGGAUGAGUAAACCGGGGUCGCCUUACAGAGAGCGGGGAAAGGUGGAAGCCCGCAGGAAAAGCCGGUUGAACAUGGCCCCGGAGUUGCCGGUUCGAAGGAUGUCAGUAGGGCCGGCCGGUGAAGCACCGUUAACUGCUGUGCCGUGCUGUUUAAGCACGCUGAGACUGCCGCCGCAAGGCGGUAGUGAAUCAGGGUGGUACCGCGGGUUAUCUGGCCUCGCCCCUGCC
This 243-nucleotide non-coding RNA is filed under the name Desulforamulus hydrothermalis. RNAcentral's name for it is "Desulfotomaculum hydrothermale T-box sequence". It matches the Rfam family "T-box leader". From Rfam's summary of the family: Uncharged tRNA acts as the effector for transcription antitermination of genes in the T-box leader family. The record is from RNAcentral. RNAcentral also lists the same sequence under 1 other name. Lineage: Bacteria; Bacillati; Bacillota; Clostridia; Eubacteriales; Peptococcaceae.